GACGAACGCUGGCGGCGUGCCUAAUACAUGCAAGUUGAGCGCUGAAGGUUGGUACUUGUACCGACUGGAUGAGCAGCGAACGGGUGAGUAACGCGUGGGGAAUCUGCCUUUGAGCGGGGGACAACAUUUGGAAACGAAUGCUAAUACCGCAUAAAAACUUUAAACACAAGUUUUAAGUUUGAAAGAUGCAAUUGCAUCACUCAAAGAUGAUCCCGCGUUGUAUUAGCUAGUUGGUGAGGUAAAGGCUCACCAAGGCGAUGAUACAUAGCCGACCUGAGAGGGUGAUCGGCCACAAUGGGAAUGAGACACGGCCCAAAAUCCUAAGGGAGGCAGCAGGAGGGAAUCAUCGGCAAUGGACGAAAGUCUGACCGAGCAACGACGCGGGAGGGAAGAAGGGUGUCGGAUCGGAAAACUCUGUUGGUAGAGAAGAAAGGUGGUGAGAGUGGAAAGCUCAUCAAGUGACGGUAACUACCCAGAAAGGGACGGCUAACUACGUG
Molecule: ribosomal RNA, 497 nt
Filed under: uncultured bacterium
Lineage: Bacteria
Description: partial 16S ribosomal RNA
Rfam family: Bacterial small subunit ribosomal RNA
Source: RNAcentral